AGAGACUCACAUUGACAAUCUAAGGCUUGUAAAGAAGCACCAUAACAUUACAGAAACAGACAUGAGAUAUGACGCUGUAGUGAAGAACCUCCAUAUUCCAUCAAUCCAGAUUGGAAGAAGACAAAGAACACAAGACCGAAACUGAAUCCUUGGGUAUGUUCUGGAAUAAACCUGGAUUCCUAGGGAGAAAAGAGAUCCCUGAAAUGAAAAUUGCCAUAAGGAGCCCUGAAAAAAAUUGGAUAAUGCCUACCUACAUUGGUGAGAGUGAUCUUUACUCAGUCUACUGAAUCAAAUACCAAUCUCUUCUGGAAAUACUAUCAGAGACACACCAAGAAACAACAUUUUACCAGCGAUCGGAGCAUCCCUUAGCCCAGUCAAAUUGACCCAUUAAAUAAGCCCUCACACUCUGCUAUAAGGCAUCUGCACUACACAUAAAUUGAUAUUCUGUUAUAUGAAGGUAGGCUUAUAUUUGUUAAAAAUGUACAAAAUGUACAUUAUAGAUUUGAUGGCAAAUAUCAAAAGAUUUAAUAAGGAAACAAAACUGAUUAAAGAAACAACAUAAAAUCAUAUGAAAUGGUC
RNAcentral lists this long non-coding RNA (579 nucleotides) under Pan troglodytes (chimpanzee). RNAcentral's name for it is "lincRNA". Lineage: Eukaryota; Metazoa; Chordata; Mammalia; Primates; Hominidae. The record is from RNAcentral.